ACUUAAUAUUUAAGCUUUUACACCUAAAAUUAAUUUUAAUCCAACAUCGAGGUCGCAAUCUUUUUUAUAAAUAUGAACUUAAAAAAAAAAUAACGCUGUUAUCCCUAAAGUAAUUUAAAUUUUUAACCAAUAAUACAAGAUCAUAAAAAUCAUAAAUCAAUGAAAUAAAAUUAUAAAAGUUUAACAAAUUUUAUUAUCUCCCCAACAAAAUAAUAUAUAUAUAAAAAAAUUAAAAAUAUAUUAAAAAAAUAAUUUUAUAUAAAUUAUAAAACUUUAUAGGGUCUUCUCGUCCUAUAUAAAWAUUUUAGCUUUUUUACUAAAAAAUAAAAUUUUAAUUUUUUUAUUGAAACAGUUUAUAUCUCAUUCAACCAUUCAUACAAGUUUUCAAUUAAAAAACUAAUGAU
Molecule: ribosomal RNA, 404 nt
Filed under: Orfelia fultoni
Lineage: Eukaryota; Metazoa; Arthropoda; Insecta; Diptera; Keroplatidae
Description: partial 16S large subunit ribosomal RNA
Source: RNAcentral